UUCGUAUCGAUGGGGAUGCGUUCCAUUAGGUUGUUGGCGGGGUAACGGCCCACCAAGCCUUCGAUGGAUAGGGGUUCUGAGAGGAAGGUCCCCCACAUUGGAACUGAGACACGGUCCAAACUCCUACGGGAGGCAGCAUG
RNAcentral lists this ribosomal RNA (140 nucleotides) under uncultured bacterium. Its description in RNAcentral is "partial 16S ribosomal RNA". It matches the Rfam family "Bacterial small subunit ribosomal RNA", at positions 216 to 353 of the family's 1533-position model. The record is from RNAcentral.